ACUUGACCUCAAAUCAGGCAGGACUACCCGCUGAACUUAA
Molecule: ribosomal RNA, 40 nt
Filed under: Aureoboletus roxanae
Lineage: Eukaryota; Fungi; Basidiomycota; Agaricomycetes; Boletales; Boletaceae
Description: partial 28S ribosomal RNA
Source: RNAcentral